Molecule: long non-coding RNA, 381 nt
Filed under: Homo sapiens (human)
Lineage: Eukaryota; Metazoa; Chordata; Mammalia; Primates; Hominidae
Description: HSALNT0354664
Source: RNAcentral
GCAAUCCUCCAGCCUCCAUCUCCUGAGUAGCUGGAACUACAGAAUGUCCUGUGUGCUUUUGGUAUGAUCAUUAUGCUGGACUCACAUGAGAGAUGGAAAAGAUGGGGAAACUGAGUGCUAGAAAUCCAAGGUUCAUAAAGUUGACAUGACUUUUCUAGAGAAGAUGAGAAGGAACUAAUUUUAAACACCUGGCCUUGGUCUGAUGCAUCCGUUACCUCCACCAGAAAGGAUGGCUAAAGGCAGAAGAGCCUGAGAGAGGAGACCCACGUGGCACACACUGCCGUACACUUCCACAAAGAGUAAGUGAAAACUCAAUGCAGAAUUGAACAUAGUUGACGAUGAGGUCUCCACAGUGAGUUUGUGGAAGUUCCAGCAGUUUGA